This 71-nucleotide transfer RNA is filed under the name Loxodonta africana (African savanna elephant). It matches the Rfam family "tRNA". Rfam says of the family: Transfer RNA (tRNA) molecules are approximately 80 nucleotides in length. Their secondary structure includes four short double-helical elements and three loops (D, anti-codon, and T loops). Lineage: Eukaryota; Metazoa; Chordata; Mammalia; Proboscidea; Elephantidae. The record is from Rfam by way of RNAcentral.
GCAUUGUUUGUUCAGUGGUAGAAUUCUCCCCUCCUAUGUGGGAGACCUGGGUUUGAUUCCCAGGCUAUGCA